This 64-nucleotide transfer RNA is filed under the name Pterobdella arugamensis. RNAcentral's name for it is "tRNA-Leu". The record is from RNAcentral. Lineage: Eukaryota; Metazoa; Annelida; Clitellata; Hirudinida; Piscicolidae.
AAUAGGUUGACAGAAUAAUGUGAAUAAUUUAGGUUUAUUUUAUAGAUUAAAUAUCUACCUAUUA